RNAcentral lists this non-coding RNA (450 nucleotides) under Phycomyces blakesleeanus NRRL 1555(-). RNAcentral's name for it is "Eukaryotic large subunit ribosomal RNA". It matches the Rfam family "Eukaryotic large subunit ribosomal RNA", at positions 2390 to 3399 of the family's 3401-position model. The record is from Rfam by way of RNAcentral. Lineage: Eukaryota; Fungi; Mucoromycota; Mucoromycetes; Mucorales; Phycomycetaceae.
AGAAUUGGCAAGGAAAUAAGACCUUGUUGAGCUUGACUUGGUAAAAAGACAUAAGGGAUACAGAUAAGUGGGAGCUUCGGCGCCAAUGAGAAACCACUGCUCUUAUUGUUCUUUAACCAUAGUAUGGGAUUAGGCUUUACAGUAAAUGCUGUGAAGCCCCCAUUGGUUGGGAAAUGGCUAAACAACCAUAAGCCAGAGCUGAUGCUGGAAACCAUACUAUAUGUGUUGCUCAUACACUAUAUGAGUAUAAAUAUGCUUUUGAGCUGAAAAGCAUAUUGUGUCUUUGCUCGUAUUCGCUGAAAGGCGAGUACAUUCAGAGCUACAUAGUAAUGCUAGUAUGGAGUAGUGAUGAAUUGCAUGCAGUUUGCAUGCAACUGACGGGGUAUUGUAAGUAGUCGAGUGACCUUUGUUGCUACGAUAUACUGAGAUUAAGCCCUUGUCCUUGAAUUU